GACGAACGCUGGCGGCGUGCUUAACACAUGCAAGUCGAACGGAAAGGCCCUGCUUGCAGGGUGCUCGAGUGGCGAACGGGCGAGUAACACGUGGGUGAUCUGCCCCUUACUUUGGGAUAAGCCUGGGAAACUGGGUCUAAUACUGGAUAGGACCAUGCUGUAGGUGGUGUGGUGGAAAGAUUAGUUUCGGUAAGGGAUGAGCUCGCGGCCUAUCAGCUUGUUGGUGGGGUAAUGGCCUACCAAGGCGUCGACGGGUAGCCGGCCUGAGAGGGUGGACGGCCACAUUGGGACUGAGAUACGGCCCAGACUCCUACGGGAGGCAGCAGUGGGGAAUAUUGCACAAUGGGCGCAAGCCUGAUGCAGCGACGCCGCGUGGGGGAUGACGGCCUUCGGGUUGUAAACUCCUUUCAGCCAUGACGAAGCCCUUGUGGUGACGGUAGUGGUAGAAGAAGCACCGGCUAACUACGUG
RNAcentral lists this ribosomal RNA (469 nucleotides) under uncultured bacterium. RNAcentral describes it as "partial 16S ribosomal RNA". It matches the Rfam family "Bacterial small subunit ribosomal RNA", at positions 28 to 507 of the family's 1533-position model. The record is from RNAcentral.